GAUGAACGCUGGCGGCGUGCCUAAUACAUGCAAGUCGAGCGAACGGACGAGAAGCUUGCUUCUCUGAUGUUAGCGGCGGACGGGUGAGUAACACGUGGAUAACCUACCUAUAAGACUGGGAUAACUUCGGGAAACCGGAGCUAAUACCGGAUAAUAUUUUGAACCGCAUGGUUCAAAAGUGAAAGACGGUCUUGCUGUCACUUAUAGAUGGAUCCGCGCUGCAUUAGCUAGUUGGUAAGGUAACGGCUUACCAAGGCAACGAUGCAUAGCCGACCUGAGAGGGUGAUCGGCCACACUGGAACUGAGACACGGUCCAGACUCCUGCGGGAGGCAGCAGCAGGGAAUCUUCCGCAAUGGGCGAAAGCCUGACGGAGCAACGCCGCGUGAGUGAUGAAGGUCUUCGGAUCGUAAAACUCUGUUAUUAGGGAAGAACAUAUGUGUAAGGAACUGUGCACAGCUUGACGGUACCUAAUCAGAAAGCCACGGCUAACUACGUG
This 497-nucleotide ribosomal RNA is filed under the name uncultured bacterium. Its description in RNAcentral is "partial 16S ribosomal RNA". It matches the Rfam family "Bacterial small subunit ribosomal RNA", at positions 28 to 507 of the family's 1533-position model. The record is from RNAcentral.